GACGAACCGUGCGAACGUUGUUCGGAAUCACUGGGCAUAAAGGGCGCGUAGGCGGCUUAUCAAGUCAGGGGUGAAAUCCGGCAGCUUAACUGUCGAAGUGCCCUUGAUACUGGUGAGCUCGAGGGAGAUAGGGGUGUGUGGAACUUCCGGUGGAGCGGUGAAAUGCGUUGAUAUCGGAAGGAACGCCGGUGGCGAAAGCGACACACUGGAUCUCUUCUGACGCUGAGGCGCGAAAGCCAGGGGAGCAAACGGG
This 253-nucleotide ribosomal RNA is filed under the name uncultured bacterium. RNAcentral describes it as "partial 16S ribosomal RNA". It matches the Rfam family "Bacterial small subunit ribosomal RNA", at positions 524 to 776 of the family's 1533-position model. The record is from RNAcentral.